CUCAGAUUGAACGCUGGCGGCAGGCCUAACACAUGCAAGUCGAACGGUAACAGGAAGCAGCUUGCUGCUUUGCUGACGAGUGGCGGACGGGUGAGUAAUGUCUGGGAAACUGCCUGAUGGAGGGGGAUAACUACUGGAAACGGUGGCUAAUACCGCAUAACGUCGCAAGACCAAAGAGGGGGACCUUCGGGCCUCUUGCCAUCAGAUGUGCCCAGAUGGGAUUAGCUAGUUGGUGAGGUAACGGCUCACCAAGGCGACGAUCCCUAGCUGGUCUGAGAGGAUGACCAGCCACACUGGAACUGAGACACGGUCCAGACUCCUACGGGAGGCAGCAGUGGGGAAUAUUGCACAAUGGGCGCAAGCCUGAUGCAGCCAUGCCGCGUGUAUGAAGAAGGCCUUCGGGUUGUAAAGUACUUUCAGCGGGGAGGAAGGUGUUGUGGUUAAUAACC
RNAcentral lists this ribosomal RNA (449 nucleotides) under Salmonella enterica subsp. enterica. RNAcentral's name for it is "bacterial SSU rRNA". It matches the Rfam family "Bacterial small subunit ribosomal RNA", at positions 23 to 468 of the family's 1533-position model. Lineage: Bacteria; Pseudomonadati; Pseudomonadota; Gammaproteobacteria; Enterobacterales; Enterobacteriaceae. The record is from RNAcentral.